UAUCUGUCUAGAAAUUUGUC
This 20-nucleotide non-coding RNA is filed under the name Mus musculus (house mouse). Lineage: Eukaryota; Metazoa; Chordata; Mammalia; Rodentia; Muridae. The record is from RNAcentral.